This 180-nucleotide ribosomal RNA is filed under the name uncultured bacterium. Its description in RNAcentral is "partial 16S ribosomal RNA". It matches the Rfam family "Bacterial small subunit ribosomal RNA", at positions 335 to 527 of the family's 1533-position model. The record is from RNAcentral.
ACUCCUACGGGAGGCAGCAGUGGGGAAUAUUGCACAAUGGGCGAAAGCCUGAUGCAGCAACGCCGCGUGAGGGACGAAGGCCUUCGGGUUGUAAACCUCUUUUAGCAGGGAAGAAGCGAAAGUGACGGUACCUGCAGAAGAAGCACCGGCUAACUACGUGCCAGCAGCCGCGGUAAUACA